GAUGAAGAACGCAGCGAAAUGCGAUAAGUAAUGCGAAUUGCAGAAUUCCAGUGAGUCAUCGAAUCUUUGAACGCACAUUGCGCCCCCUGGUAUUCCGGGGGGCAUGCCUGUCCGAGCGUCAUUACUGCCCUCAAGCCCGGCUUGUGUGUUGGGCCCCGUCCUCCGAUCCCGGGGGACGGGCCCGAAAGGCAGCGGCGGCACCGCGUCCGGUCCUCGAGCGUAUGGGGCUUUGUCACCCGCUCUGUAGGCCCGGCCGGCGCUUGCCGAUCAACCCCAAUUUUUAUAGGUUGACCUCGGAUCAGGUAGGGAUACCCGCUGAACUUAAGCAUAUCAAUAAGCGGAGGA
Molecule: unclassified non-coding RNA, 345 nt
Filed under: soil metagenome
Description: partial contains 5.8S ribosomal RNA, internal transcribed spacer 2, and large subunit ribosomal RNA
Rfam family: 5.8S ribosomal RNA (bases 1-121)
Source: RNAcentral